RNAcentral lists this ribosomal RNA (253 nucleotides) under uncultured bacterium. Its description in RNAcentral is "partial 16S ribosomal RNA". It matches the Rfam family "Bacterial small subunit ribosomal RNA", at positions 524 to 776 of the family's 1533-position model. The record is from RNAcentral.
CACGUAGGGGGCGAGCGUUGUCCGGAUUUAUUGGGCGUAAAGAGCUCGUAGGCGGCUUGUCGCGUCGUCCGUGAAAACUUGGGGCUCAACCCCAAGCUUGCGGUCGAUACGGGCAGGCUCGAGUUCGGUAGGGGAGACUGGAAUUCCUGGUGUAGCGGUGAAAUGCGCAGAUAUCAGGAGGAACACCGGUGGCGAAGGCGGGUCUCUGGGCCGAUACUGACGCUGAGGAGCGAAAGCGUGGGGAGCGAACAGG